UUCAAUGUUGAAAAGCAU
This 18-nucleotide small nuclear RNA is filed under the name Arabidopsis thaliana (thale cress). RNAcentral describes it as "snRNA_13777". Lineage: Eukaryota; Viridiplantae; Streptophyta; Magnoliopsida; Brassicales; Brassicaceae. The record is from RNAcentral.